Molecule: long non-coding RNA, 909 nt
Organism: Piliocolobus tephrosceles (Ugandan red Colobus)
Lineage: Eukaryota; Metazoa; Chordata; Mammalia; Primates; Cercopithecidae
Exons: 3
Source: RefSeq, a predicted model, not a curated record
CGAAGCUGUGUGAGCACAAACUUGGCCUCUCCAUCGUUUUGCUGAGCCAGCCUUGACAAGGGCACUUUACUCUGGUUAAAUUCCAGAGAAGCAGUUUUUCUAAAACAACUUUGCCUCCUCUUUGGGGAUCAAAGGCAGAACGUGCCAUUUUCUACAUCCUGGCGAGGGGACGUAUUUGAAAUCCUCCAAGAGUUUGCGUCUUGGCCACUUUCCCAGUGUAUGUGCUUUAAAGAGACCAGAAAAUGAUGUUUUCAAAAUACUUCCUGGAAUCUUUUAUAAGUGCCACUGGGACAUCACCUGUCUCUCUUGCCACCGCCUGGCUCAGGCCUGGCACGUGCUCAGUGAGUUUGCAAGACUGAAGGACACCCUUGCCUCCAUGUCAAAUCCCAGGGGUCCCUCACAGCACUGCAUCCGGGAAGAUGGAGGCUGAGCCCCAGGUUGCAAGCCGUGGUGCUGGCCCUCGGGUAUGAAAUACACCAGUGAUUAUAAAGGGAAGACACAGGCUCCCUGAAGACAGGAGCCAUGUUUUGGUUGCGGCCUCCCCACGCUGGCCUGCGGAGAAGCUCCAGGGAUGUGCAUUGGAUACAUGAACGGAUAGAUGAGUGAGAGGUUUUGGGUGCCCUGAGCUCAUAAGUAUGUGUUUUAAGGCAAGUCAUACCACUUAUCAGUCAUACCACUCAGCCUUCUCACUCAUUUCACUGCAGAAUGAGAAUGCUACAUUCCUCUUAUUCUUACAUCCUGUAUUUGCACAGCACUUUUAAGUUAUUGCAUGUGACAGACAGAAGACAGCCUCAGCCUCCCAGCUCAGCCACUGGGUCUAGUCCAUUGGUCACAAACACAAACCUGCAAGGUGCAUGUGGCUCGGAGAGGGACCCCUCAAUGUCAGCAACAAGGGGGGAUUUCAGAAGU